UGAGGCUCCUGGGACCAACCAUAGGUUAAAGAAAAACCAUCUGGUGCUGAGAAUCCAAAGGCAGCGGGAAAUCCUCAACAGGAACUGGAGAGGUUGGAGAAAUAAUAGAGCAGAAGCCACCUGGAAGCAGGGGCCCAAACAACAGGGCAGGUUGUUAGCUGCAUUGCACAUAGAAGGGUAGAAGAGGAAGAAUGAUUUUACUUCUUGACAAAGAAGAAGAAGGAAAGACGUCUGCAGGAUGAAGGCUCUCAGGACUGCCCAAUCUGAUGGAAGAAAUUGCCUUCCUAGACUUGCCAGCAUCUCUGGGAACUGUCUUGAACUCCAUAUCAGAGAUAUGUAGAGGAGGAAACACACAAGUUCUCUUUCAAACACAUUAAGUUGGAGGUGUCUGUUGAAUCGGUAGGUGGAGAUGUCUUCUGGGUUGGAUAUACAGGUCUAUAGCUUUGGAAGAACUCUGGGUGGAGAUUAGGAAGUCGUCUGAAUUGAAUGAAUUUCACUCAAGCAAAUAACUUUCUUCCAGGUAUUCCCAGUCCCACUUCCCUUCGUCAACUCAAUUUAACACAUGCCGACUGUUAGGCCCUAUUUUCUUUCAGAGAAUCUUAGGCUAGCUGGAAAUACUGUUCUUCCACUUGGCUCAUCCACUCUUGCUUGGACUCCUUCCAUUCCUGCCCAGGUAUUACAGAAUAUAGAAUCCACGUGGAACUAUGAAAUUCUGUUUUCUAAGCCAUG
Molecule: long non-coding RNA, 729 nt
Organism: Homo sapiens (human)
Lineage: Eukaryota; Metazoa; Chordata; Mammalia; Primates; Hominidae
Exons: 3
Source: RefSeq, a predicted model, not a curated record